AGCAGUCGCCGCGGUAAUACGAAGGGUGCAAGCGUUACUCGGAAUUACUGGGCGUAAAGCGUGCGUAGGUGGUUGUUUAAGUCUGCUGUGAAAGCCCUGGGCUCAACCUGGGAAUUGCAGUGGAUACUGGGCAACUAGAGUAAGGUAGAGGAUAGUGGAAUUUCCGGUGUAGCAGUGAAAUGCGUAGAGAUCGGAAGGAACAUCUGUGGCGAAGGCGACUAUCUGGGCCAACACUGACACUGAGGCACGAAAGCGUGGGGAGCAAACAGGAUUAGAUACCCCCGUAGUCCCUGUCUCUUAUAC
Molecule: ribosomal RNA, 303 nt
Filed under: uncultured bacterium
Lineage: Bacteria
Description: partial 16S ribosomal RNA
Rfam family: Bacterial small subunit ribosomal RNA
Source: RNAcentral